RNAcentral lists this ribosomal RNA (816 nucleotides) under uncultured bacterium. Its description in RNAcentral is "bacterial SSU rRNA". It matches the Rfam family "Bacterial small subunit ribosomal RNA", at positions 59 to 916 of the family's 1533-position model. The record is from RNAcentral.
CAGUCGAACGGGAAUCUUCGGAUUCUAGUGGCGGACGGGUGAGUAACGCGUAAGAAUCUAACUUCAGGACGGGGACAACAGUUGGAAACGACUGCUAAUACCCGAUAUGCCGCGAGGUGAAACCUAAUUGGCCUGAAGAAGAGCUUGCGUCUGAUUAGCUAGUUGGUGGGGUAAGAGCCUACCAAGGCGACGAUCAGUAGCUGGUCUGAGAGGAUGAGCAGCCACACUGGGACUGAGACACGGCCCAGACUCCUACGGGAGGCAGCAGUGGGGAAUUUUCCGCAAUGGGCGAAAGCCUGACGGAGCAACGCCGCGUGAGGGAGGAAGGUCUUUGGAUUGUAAACCUCUUUUCUCAAGGAAGAAGUUCUGACGGUACUUGAGGAAUCAGCCUCGGCUAACUCCGUGCCAGCAGCCGCGGUAAUACGGGGGAGGCAAGCGUUAUCCGGAAUUAUUGGGCGUAAAGCGUCCGCAGGUGGUCAGCCAAGUCUGCUGUCAAAUCAGGUUGCUUAACGACCUAAAGGCGGUGGAAACUGGCAGACUAGAGAGCAGUAGGGGUAGCAGGAAUUCCCAGUGUAGCGGUGAAAUGCGUAGAGAUUGGGAAGAACAUCGGUGGCGAAAGCGUGCUACUGGGCUGUAUCUGACACUCAGGGACGAAAGCUAGGGGAGCGAAAGGGAUUAGAUACCCCUGUAGUCCUAGCCGUAAACGAUGGAUACUAGGCGUGGCUUGUAUCGACCCGAGCCGUGCCGAAGCUAACGCGUUAAGUAUCCCGCCUGGGGGAGUACGCACGCAAGUGUGAAACUCAAAGGAAUUGACGG